This 918-nucleotide ribosomal RNA is filed under the name Escherichia coli. RNAcentral describes it as "partial 23S ribosomal RNA". It matches the Rfam family "Bacterial large subunit ribosomal RNA", at positions 317 to 1236 of the family's 2925-position model. Lineage: Bacteria; Pseudomonadati; Pseudomonadota; Gammaproteobacteria; Enterobacterales; Enterobacteriaceae. The record is from RNAcentral.
UCAGUGUGUGUGUUAGUGGAAGCGUCUGGAAAGGCGCGCGAUACAGGGUGACAGCCCCGUACACAAAAAUGCACAUGCUGUGAGCUCGAUGAGUAGGGCGGGACACGUGGUAUCCUGUCUGAAUAUGGGGGGACCAUCCUCCAAGGCUAAAUACUCCUGACUGACCGAUAGUGAACCAGUACCGUGAGGGAAAGGCGAAAAGAACCCCGGCGAGGGGAGUGAAAAAGAACCUGAAACCGUGUACGUACAAGCAGUGGGAGCACAGAGCAAUCUGUGUGACUGCGUACCUUUUGUAUAAUGGGUCAGCGACUUAUAUUCUGUAGCAAGGUUAACCGAAUAGGGGAGCCGAAGGGAAACCGAGUCUUAACUGGGCGUUAAGUUGCAGGGUAUAGACCCGAAACCCGGUGAUCUAGCCAUGGGCAGGUUGAAGGUUGGGUAACACUAACUGGAGGACCGAACCGACUAAUGUUGAAAAAUUAGCGGAUGACUUGUGGCUGGGGGUGAAAGGCCAAUCAAACCGGGAGAUAGCUGGUUCUCCCCGAAAGCUAUUUAGGUAGCGCCUCGUGAAUUCAUCUCCGGGGGUAGAGCACUGUUUCGGCAAGGGGGUCAUCCCGACUUACCAACCCGAUGCAAACUGCGAAUACCGGAGAAUGUUAUCACGGGAGACACACGGCGGGUGCUAACGUCCGUCGUGAAGAGGGAAACAACCCAGACCGCCAGCUAAGGUCCCAAAGUCAUGGUUAAGUGGGAAACGAUGUGGGAAGGCCCAGACAGCCAGGAUGUUGGCUUAGAAGCAGCCAUCAUUUAAAGAAAGCGUAAUAGCUCACUGGUCGAGUCGGCCUGCGCGGAAGAUGUAACGGGGCUAAACCAUGCACCGAAGCUGCGGCAGCGACGCUGAUGCGUUGUUGGGUAGGGGAG